GUUGGGCAUCACAAUAUGUGUUCCGCUCCGUGCACCCAAUGCACAGAGAACGUUCGUGCAAGCUCUGGGACGGAUCCAGACCCAUUCAACUUGAAUGGGUCCGCAUCCUUCCGUUCCGCAAAAAGAUAGAGCAA
This is a long non-coding RNA of Bufo bufo (common toad), 134 nucleotides long. RefSeq lists it as uncharacterized. NCBI's taxonomy places the organism in Eukaryota, Metazoa, Chordata, Amphibia, Anura, Bufonidae. The record is from RefSeq and is a predicted model, not a curated record. The transcript is spliced from 3 exons.